GCCCUGGUUGAUUAAUGGUAAAUCACCCACACCCCCUGGAUGCUUGCUGGAGUGAAUUGAUGUGGGCGACGGAGGUUCAAAUCCUUCCAAGGGCA
Non-coding RNA from Mycena rebaudengoi, 95 nucleotides. NCBI's taxonomy places the organism in Eukaryota, Fungi, Basidiomycota, Agaricomycetes, Agaricales, Mycenaceae. The record is from the annotation of a GenBank genome assembly.